This 769-nucleotide ribosomal RNA is filed under the name uncultured Pseudoalteromonadaceae bacterium. RNAcentral's name for it is "bacterial SSU rRNA". It matches the Rfam family "Bacterial small subunit ribosomal RNA", at positions 28 to 776 of the family's 1533-position model. Lineage: Bacteria; Pseudomonadati; Pseudomonadota; Gammaproteobacteria; Alteromonadales; Pseudoalteromonadaceae. The record is from RNAcentral.
AUUGAACGCUGGCGGCAGGCCUAACACAUGCAAGUCGAGCGGAAACGAGUUAUCUGAACCUUCGGGGAACGAUAACGACGUCGAGCGGCGGACGGGUGAGUAAUGCCUAGGAAAUUGCCCUGAUGUGGGGGAUAACCAUUGGAAACGAUGGCUAAUACCGCAUGAUGCCUACGGGCCAAAGAGGGGGACCUUCGGGCCUCUCGCGUCAGGAUAUGCCUAGGUGGGAUUAGCUAGUUGGUGAGGUAAGGGCUCACCAAGGCGACGAUCCCUAGCUGGUCUGAGAGGAUGAUCAGCCACACUGGAACUGAGACACGGUCCAGACUCCUACGGGAGGCAGCAGUGGGGAAUAUUGCACAAUGGGCGCAAGCCUGAUGCAGCCAUGCCGCGUGUAUGAAGAAGGCCUUCGGGUUGUAAAGUACUUUCAGUCGUGAGGAAGGCGGCGUCGUUAAUAGCGGCGUUGUUUGACGUUAGCGACAGAAGAAGCACCGGCUAACUCCGUGCCAGCAGCCGCGGUAAUACGGAGGGUGCGAGCGUUAAUCGGAAUUACUGGGCGUAAAGCGCAUGCAGGUGGUUUGUUAAGUCAGAUGUGAAAGCCCGGGGCUCAACCUCGGAAUAGCAUUUGAAACUGGCAGACUAGAGUACUGUAGAGGGGGGUAGAAUUUCAGGUGUAGCGGUGAAAUGCGUAGAGAUCUGAAGGAAUACCGGUGGCGAAGGCGGCCCCCUGGACAGAUACUGACACUCAGAUGCGAAAGCGUGGGGAGCAAACAGG